This 600-nucleotide ribosomal RNA is filed under the name uncultured bacterium. Its description in RNAcentral is "bacterial SSU rRNA". It matches the Rfam family "Bacterial small subunit ribosomal RNA", at positions 1 to 602 of the family's 1533-position model. The record is from RNAcentral.
CUACGCCCGAUCCCCUUGAGUUUGAUCAUGGCUCAGGACGAACGCUGGCGGCGUGCUUAACGCAUGCAAGUCGAGCGAGGUCCAUCCACUCGCAAGAGUGGUGAAGACCUAGCGGCGAACGGGUGAGUAACACGUGAGGAACCUGCCCCGGAGACCGGGAUAAGCCCCCGAAAGGGGGUCUAAUACCGGAUAUCCCCAUCGGAUCGCAUGGUCUGAUGAGGAAAUGGAUUCCGCUCCGGGAGGGUCUCGCGGCCUAUCAGCUUGUUGGUGAGGUAACGGCUCACCAAGGCUUCGACGGGUAGCUGGUCUGAGAGGACGAUCAGCCACACUGGGACUGAGACACGGCCCAGACUCCUACGGGAGGCAGCAGUGGGGAAUCUUGCGCAAUGGGCGAAAGCCUGACGCAGCAACGCCGCGUGGGGGAUGAAGGCUCUCGGGUUGUAAACCCCUUUCAGCAGGGACGAUUAUGACGGUACCUGCAGAAGAAGGACCGGCCAACUACGUGCCAGCAGCCGCGGUAAUACGUAGGGUCCAAGCGUUGUCCGGAUUUAUUGGGCGUAAAGAGCUCGUAGGCGGCUUCGUAAGUCGGAUGUGAAAACU